GUCACAAUUUACAAACCCGAACCCGGAUGAUCUAACCGUGAUCAGUGUGAAACUUAGUUAACACUAAACGGAGGCAUGAACUGACUGUUGCUGCAAGAACAGCGGAUGAAUUGCGGUUAGGGGUGAAAUUCCAAUCGAAUUCGGAGCUAGCUGGUUCUCCCCGAAAUGCGUUUUGGCGCA
Molecule: ribosomal RNA, 180 nt
Filed under: Aurantiochytrium limacinum
Lineage: Eukaryota; Bigyra; Thraustochytrida; Thraustochytriidae
Description: partial Bacterial large subunit ribosomal RNA
Rfam family: Bacterial large subunit ribosomal RNA
Source: RNAcentral